UUACCGAGUGCGGGCCCUCGCGGCCCAACCUCCCACCCUUGUCUCUCUACACCUGUUGCUUUGGCGGGCCCACCGGGGCCACCUGGUCGCCGGGGGACGCACGUCCCCGGGCCCGCGCCCGCCGAAGCGCUCUGUGAACCCUGAUGAAGAUGGGCUGUCUGAGUACGAUGAAAAUUGUCAAAACUUUCAACAAUGGAUCUCUUGGUUCCGGCAUCGAUGAAGAACGCAGCGAAAUGCGAUAAGUAAUGUGAAUUGCAGAAUUCCGUGAAUCAUCGAAUCUUUGAACGCACAUUGCGCCCCCUGGCAUUCCGGGGGGCAUGCCUGUCCGAGCGUCAUUUCUGCCCUCAAGCACGGCUUGUGUGUUGGGUGUGGUCCCCCCGGGGACCUGCCCGAAAGGCAGCGGCGACGUCCGUUUGGUCCUCGAGCGUAUGGGGCUCUGUCACUCGCUCGGGAAGGACCUGCGGGGGUUGGUCACCACCAUAUUUUACCACGGUUGACCUCGGAUCAGGUAGGAGUUACCCGCUGAACUUAAGCAUAUCAAUAAGCGGAGGAAAAGAAACCAACCGGGAUUGCCUCAGUAACGGCGAGUGAAGCGGCAAGAGCUCAAAUUUGAAAUCUGGCCCCCUUGGGGUCCGAGUUGUAAUUUGCAGAGGAUGCUUCGGGUGCGGUCCCCGUCUAAGUGCCCUGGAACGGGCCGUCAUAGAGGGUGAGAAUCCCGUCUGGGAUGGGCGGCCGCGCCCGUGUGAAGCUCCUUCGACGAGUCGAGUUGUUUGGGAAUGCAGCUCUAAGCGGGUGGUAAAUUUCAUCUAAAGCUAAAUACUGGCCGGAGACCGAUAGCGCACAAGUAGAGUGAUCGAAAGAUGAAAAGCACUUUGAAAAGAGAGUUAAACAGCACGUGAAAUUGUUGAAAGGGAAGCGUUGUCCACCAGACUCGCCCGGGGGGGUUCAGCCGGCACGUGUGCCGGUGUACUCCUCUCCGGGCGGGCCAGCAUCGGUUUGGGCGGCUGGUGAAAGGCCCCGGGAAUGUAACACCCUCCGGGGUGCCUUAUAGCCCGGGGUGCCAUACAGCCAGCCUGGACCGAGGCCCGCGCUUCGGCGAGGAUGCUGGCGUAAUGGUGGUCAACGGCCCGUCUUGAAACACGGACCAAGGAGUCUAACAUCUAUGCGAGUGUUCGGGUGUCAAACCCGUCCGCGCAGUGAAAGCGAACGGAGGUGGGAGCCCCUCGGGGUGCACCAUCGACCGAUCCUGAUGUCUUCGGAUGGAUUUGAGUAAGAGCAUAGCUGUUGGGACCCGAAAGAUGGUGAACUAUGCCUGAAUAGGGCGAAGCCAGAGGAAACUCUGGUGGAGGC
Molecule: small RNA, 1350 nt
Filed under: Talaromyces angelicae
Lineage: Eukaryota; Fungi; Ascomycota; Eurotiomycetes; Eurotiales; Trichocomaceae
Description: eukaryotic LSU rRNA
Rfam family: Eukaryotic large subunit ribosomal RNA (bases 495-1350)
Source: RNAcentral